RNAcentral lists this non-coding RNA (28 nucleotides) under Homo sapiens (human). Lineage: Eukaryota; Metazoa; Chordata; Mammalia; Primates; Hominidae. The record is from RNAcentral.
UAAGGCAAUGACCCCUUCUUUGAGGAGC